CCUACGGGGGGCUGCAGUGAGGAAUAUUGGUCAAUGGGCGCGAGCCUGAACCAGCCAAGUAGCGUGAAGGAUGACUGCCCUACGGGUUGUAAACUUCUUUUAUAAAGGAAUAAAGUGAGGCACGUGUGCCUUUUUGUAUGUACUUUAUGAAUAAGGAUAGGCUAACUCCGUGCCAGCAGCCGCUGUAAUACGGAGGUGCCGAGCGUUAUCCGGAUUUAUUGGGUUUAACGGGAGCGUAGAUGUGUUGUUAAGUCAGUUUUGAAAGUUUGCGGCUCAACCGUAAAAUUGCAAUUGAUACUGGCAGUCUUGAGUACAGUUGAGGUAGGCGGAAUUC
RNAcentral lists this ribosomal RNA (334 nucleotides) under uncultured bacterium. RNAcentral's name for it is "partial 16S ribosomal RNA". It matches the Rfam family "Bacterial small subunit ribosomal RNA", at positions 338 to 669 of the family's 1533-position model. The record is from RNAcentral.